GCAACUUGAUCAACACCCCAUCCUUCUUGGAAUUAUUUUUAAAGUAUGAAAUGGACUUAAUUUGGUGUGGAAGAGAUCUUGGAAAGGUUGGCAUGCAUGCGUGAAUAGAGUCACGUGACUCAUCGCAGAAAGAGUCCUUCUGCCAUGGGGUAGAAGGAGGUGCUCCUUACUAAUAAACCUGCCAUUUGAAUCUUUAUUCAAAUAAAGAUUAACAUGGUAAGUUUUUUAGAAUUUUCUGAAUUGGAAAGGAUGCUUAAAACUGCUCUUGAUCUAGGGGCACACACGUGGAGGAAUAAAGUCACAUGAUGGUUCACGUGAAGAGUCGGUGGUCCCCAUCUGAAUAAUCCUACCAUUUGAAUUAGAUUUGAAUGAGGAUUAUUUAGGAUAUUUUUUUAGAAUUAUCUGAAAGAGGAAGGGAUGCCAUAAAUGCAUCUUUUGUGCAUGCAUGUGUGGUGAUGGGUGAAGGGCAAUUACUUGGAAGAGUCCUUCUGUUUGAAGGCUUUCUUCCUCUGACAUGCAACUAAUCUAAGGGGCAUGAAGAAGAGUUGUGACUUUUCUCCACCCAU
This 566-nucleotide long non-coding RNA is filed under the name Elaeis guineensis (African oil palm). RNAcentral's name for it is "long non-coding RNA (EGUI_LNC035000)". Lineage: Eukaryota; Viridiplantae; Streptophyta; Magnoliopsida; Arecales; Arecaceae. The record is from RNAcentral.